CCUACGGGGGGCAGCAGUGGGGAAUAUUGGACAAUGGGGGCAACCCUGAUCCAGCCAUGCCGCGUGUGUGAAGAAGGCCCUCGGGUUGUAAAGCACUUUCAGUGAGGAAGAACGCCUGGUGGUUAAUACCCAUCAGGAAAGACAUCACUCACAGAAGAAGCACCGGCUAACUCCGUGCCAGCAGCCGCGGUAAUACGGAGGGUGCGAGCGUUAAUCGGAAUUACUGGGCGUAAAGCGCGCGUAGGUGGCUUGAUAAGCCGGUUGUGAAAGCCCCGGGCUCAACCUGGGAACGGCAUCCGGAACUGUCAAGCUAGAGUGCAGGAGAGGAAGGUAGAAUUCCCGGCGUAGCGGUGAAAUGCGUAGAGAUCGGGAGGAAUACCAGUGGCGAAGGCGGCCUUCUGGACUGACACUGACACUGAGGUGCGAAAGCGUGGGUAGCAAACAGGAUUAGAUACCCCAGUAGUC
RNAcentral lists this ribosomal RNA (465 nucleotides) under Vreelandella stevensii. RNAcentral describes it as "partial 16S ribosomal RNA". It matches the Rfam family "Bacterial small subunit ribosomal RNA", at positions 338 to 795 of the family's 1533-position model. The record is from RNAcentral. Lineage: Bacteria; Pseudomonadati; Pseudomonadota; Gammaproteobacteria; Oceanospirillales; Halomonadaceae.